Molecule: ribosomal RNA, 405 nt
Filed under: uncultured Glomeromycotina
Lineage: Eukaryota; Fungi; Glomeromycota
Description: SSU rRNA
Rfam family: Eukaryotic small subunit ribosomal RNA
Source: RNAcentral
AGCAGCCGCGGUAAUUCCAGCUCCAAUAGCGUAUAUUAAAGUUGCUGCAGUUAAAAAGCUCGUAGUUGAAUUUCGGGACCAUCAUGUCGGUCGUGCCUCGGUACGUACUGGCAUUGUUGGUUUCUCCCUUCUGACGAACCAUGAUGUCAUUAAUUUGGUGUCAUGGGGAAUCAGGACUGUUACUUUGAAAAAUUAGAGUGUUUAAAGCAGGCUCACGCUUGAAUACAUUAGCAUGGAAUAAUGAAAUAGGACGUUUGAUUCUAUUUUGUUGGUUUCUAGGAUCGACGUAAUGAUUAAUAGGGAUAGUUGGGGGCAUUAGUAUUCAAUUGUCAGAGGUGAAAUUCUUGGAUUUAUUGAAGACUAACUACUGCGAAAGCAUUUGCCAAGGAUGUUUUCAUUAAUCAA